Molecule: ribosomal RNA, 569 nt
Filed under: Micrococcus sp. Z0Bg
Lineage: Bacteria; Bacillati; Actinomycetota; Actinomycetes; Micrococcales; Micrococcaceae
Description: bacterial SSU rRNA
Rfam family: Bacterial small subunit ribosomal RNA
Source: RNAcentral
CCUGAGAGGGUGACCCGGCCACACUGGGACUGAGACACGGCCCAGACUCCSACGGAGGCAGCAGUGGGGAAUAUUGCACAAUGGGCGCAAGCCUGAUGCAGCGACGCCGCGUGAGGGAUGACGGCUUCGGGUUGUAAACCUCUNUCAGUAGGGAAGAAGCGAAAGUGACGGUACCUGCAGAAGAAGCACCGGCUAACUACGUGCCAGCAGCCGCGGUAAUACGUAGGGUGCGAGCGUUAUCCGGAAUUAUUGGGCGUAAAGAGCUCGUAGGCGGUSUGUCGCGUCUGUCGUGAAAGUCCGGGGCUUAACCCCGGAUCUGCGGUGGGUACGGGCAGACUAGAGUGCAGUAGGGGAGACUGGAAUUCCUGGUGUAGCGGUGGAAUGCGCAGAUAUCAGGAGGAACACCGAUGGCGAAGGCAGGUMUCUGGGCUGUAACUGACGCUGAGGAGCGAAAGCAUGGGGAGCGAACAGGAUUAGAUACCCUGGUAGUCCAUGCCGUAAACGUUGGGCACUAGGUGUGGGGAMCAUUCCACGGUUUCCGCGCCGCAGUAACGCAUUAAGUGCCCCGC